This 492-nucleotide ribosomal RNA is filed under the name uncultured bacterium. Its description in RNAcentral is "partial 16S ribosomal RNA". It matches the Rfam family "Bacterial small subunit ribosomal RNA", at positions 29 to 507 of the family's 1533-position model. The record is from RNAcentral.
AGUGAACGCUGGCGGUAGGCCUAACACAUGCAAGUCGAACGGCAGCACAGUAAGAGCUUGCUCUUACGGGUGGCGAGUGGCGGACGGGUGAGGAAUACAUCGGAAUCUACUUUUUCGUGGGGGAUAACGUAGGGAAACUUACGCUAAUACCGCAUACGACCUACGGGUGAAAGCAGUGGAUCUUCGGACCUUGCGCGAUUGUAUGAGCCGAUGUCGGAUUAGCUAGUUGGCGGGGUAAAGGCCCACCAAGGCAACGAUCCGUAGCUGGUCUGAGAGGAUGAUCAGCCACACUGGAACUGAGACACGGUCCAGACUCCUACGGGAGGCAGCAGUGGGGAAUCUUGGACAAAGGGCGAAAGCCUGAUCCAGCAACACCGCGUGAGUGAAGAAGGCCUUCGGAUCGUAAAGCUCUGUUGUUAGGAAAGAAAAACAGCAGAAGAAACUACCGAUGUUCUGACGGUACCUAAAGAGUAAGCAACGGCUAACUUCGUG